CCCGAAAGAUCGAACGGGGAGAUUCACCGUCAGCGGGGUCGGCUUCGCCGCGGUCAGCGAUGCGCUGGACCACGAGUUCCGCGCACGCGGUCGCGUCGCGUUUAUGCCCGGUCACGUAGGCGUGCACUUCUCCCCUAGUAGGACGUCGCGACCCGUUGGGCGUCGGCAUAAGGCCCGUGAGAUAGCCUGUAGCGGCGUUCGCGCUCGUUACAGAUCCACGGUUGCCCGGCCUGCUGCCCGGCGGUACACGCACGGUAUUGAGCCGCAUCGAACAUGCGUCCAGUCCGUCGCAAGCGCGGUCAGCGAUACCCGGUGGUUCGGACCUAGCGCCGUCCCCGGGCCUGGCCAGCUGCUGGCAGACGGUAUCCUCGGACGGGCUCGCUCGCAUUGAUUACCGGUCGGCGACGCUACUGCUUUGGGUACUUUCA
This 428-nucleotide ribosomal RNA is filed under the name Pergagrapta sp. SS-2014. RNAcentral's name for it is "eukaryotic LSU rRNA". The record is from RNAcentral. Lineage: Eukaryota; Metazoa; Arthropoda; Insecta; Hymenoptera; Pergidae.